CCACAAUGCAGUACAUAUGUUGAGAUGCUGAAGAGGUCUCUCCCAGCCAAGACAUUGCUAGUUUUUUCAAAUUAAGUUAAAAUACACAAGUCCUUUUCAAAAUAAUAUUAUGAUAUAUGAGCCAGAAACUCACCAGGUGUUUCAAGGCAUUAGAAAGCAGUCGUCUCCCAAAUGGCUUAUCAAAAUCAGCAAUAAUCCAGACAGUAACAGCAUAUAACGCAUCCUCAUCCUUUUUUGUUAAAUACUUCAUGCUGUCUGAAAUUACAGCAGUUUUAUCUUGUGAGUCCAAAAAGGAGAAAGUAGAGAAGUCCUGUACAUCAAAUGGAACAGAUGUAGAUCUGAAAUGUAGGUAUCUUCUUUCUGCUCCAAGAAUACUGGGGUUUAUAUGAGAAA
RNAcentral lists this long non-coding RNA (393 nucleotides) under Gallus gallus (chicken). Lineage: Eukaryota; Metazoa; Chordata; Aves; Galliformes; Phasianidae. The record is from RNAcentral.